RNAcentral lists this ribosomal RNA (2929 nucleotides) under Salmonella enterica subsp. enterica serovar Apapa str. SA20060561. RNAcentral's name for it is "bacterial LSU rRNA". It matches the Rfam family "Bacterial large subunit ribosomal RNA". Lineage: Bacteria; Pseudomonadati; Pseudomonadota; Gammaproteobacteria; Enterobacterales; Enterobacteriaceae. The record is from RNAcentral.
GGGUUGUGAGGUUAAGCGACUAAGCGUACACGGUGGAUGCCCUGGCAGUCAGAGGCGAUGAAGGACGUGCUAAUCUGCGAUAAGCGCCGGUAAGGUGAUAUGAACCGUUAUAACCGGCGAUUUCCGAAUGGGGAAACCCAGUGUGACUCGUCACACUAUCAUUAACUGAAUCCAUAGGUUAAUGAGGCGAACCGGGGGAACUGAAACAUCUAAGUACCCCGAGGAAAAGAAAUCAACCGAGAUUCCCCCAGUAGCGGCGAGCGAACGGGGAGGAGCCCAGAGCCUGAAUCAGCAUGUGUGUUAGUGGAAGCGUCUGGAAAGGCGCGCGAUACAGGGUGACAGCCCCGUACACAAAAGCGCAUGUGUUGUGAGCUCGAUGAGUAGGGCGGGACACGUGGUAUCCUGUCUGAAUAUGGGGGGACCAUCCUCCAAGGCUAAAUACUCCUGACUGACCGAUAGUGAACCAGUACCGUGAGGGAAAGGCGAAAAGAACCCCGGCGAGGGGAGUGAAAAAGAACCUGAAACCGUGUACGUACAAGCAGUGGGAGCACAGGUUUACCUGUGUGACUGCGUACCUUUUGUAUAAUGGGUCAGCGACUUAUAUUCUGUAGCAAGGUUAACCGAAUAGGGGAGCCGUAGGGAAACCGAGUCUUAACCGGGCGUUAAGUUGCAGGGUAUAGACCCGAAACCCGGUGAUCUAGCCAUGGGCAGGUUGAAGGUUGGGUAACACUAACUGGAGGACCGAACCGACUAAUGUUGAAAAAUUAGCGGAUGACCUGUGGCUGGGGGUGAAAGGCCAAUCAAACCGGGAGAUAGCUGGUUCUCCCCGAAAGCUAUUUAGGUAGCGCCUCGUGAAUUCAUCUCCGGGGGUAGAGCACUGUUUCGGCUAGGGGGCCAUCCCGGCUUACCAACCCGAUGCAAACUGCGAAUACCGGAGAAUGUUAUCACGGGAGACACACGGCGGGUGCUAACGUCCGUCGUGAAGAGGGAAACAACCCAGACCGCCAGCUAAGGUCCCAAAGUCAUGGUUAAGUGGGAAACGAUGUGGGAAGGCCCAGACAGCCAGGAUGUUGGCUUAGAAGCAGCCAUCAUUUAAAGAAAGCGUAAUAGCUCACUGGUCGAGUCGGCCUGCGCGGAAGAUGUAACGGGGCUAAACCAUGCACCGAAGCUGCGGCAGCGACGCUGAUGCGUUGUUGGGUAGGGGAGCGUUCUGUAAGCCUGCGAAGGUGGCCUGUGAGGGUUGCUGGAGGUAUCAGAAGUGCGAAUGCUGACAUAAGUAACGAUAAAGCGGGUGAAAAGCCCGCUCGCCGGAAGACCAAGGGUUCCUGUCCAACGUUAAUCGGGGCAGGGUGAGUCGACCCCUAAGGCGAGGCCGAAAGGCGUAGUCGAUGGGAAACGGGUUAAUAUUCCCGUACUUGGUGUUACUGCGAAGGGGGGACGGAGAAGGCUAUGUUGGCCGGGCGACGGUUGUCCCGGUUUAAGCGUGUAGGUGUGUGUUCCAGGUAAAUCCGGUUCACUUUAACACUGAGGCGUGAUGACGAGGCACUACGGUGCUGAAGCAACAAAUGCCCUGCUUCCAGGAAAAGCCUCUAAGCAUCAGGUAACAUCAAAUCGUACCCCAAACCGACACAGGUGGUCAGGUAGAGAAUACCAAGGCGCUUGAGAGAACUCGGGUGAAGGAACUAGGCAAAAUGGUGCCGUAACUUCGGGAGAAGGCACGCUGACAUGUAGGUGAAGUGAUUUACUCAUGGAGCUGAAGUCAGUCGAAGAUACCAGCUGGCUGCAACUGUUUAUUAAAAACACAGCACUGUGCAAACACGAAAGUGGACGUAUACGGUGUGACGCCUGCCCGGUGCCGGAAGGUUAAUUGAUGGGGUCAGCGCAAGCGAAGCUCCUGAUCGAAGCCCCGGUAAACGGCGGCCGUAACUAUAACGGUCCUAAGGUAGCGAAAUUCCUUGUCGGGUAAGUUCCGACCUGCACGAAUGGCGUAAUGAUGGCCAGGCUGUCUCCACCCGAGACUCAGUGAAAUUGAACUCGCUGUGAAGAUGCAGUGUACCCGCGGCAAGACGGAAAGACCCCGUGAACCUUUACUAUAGCUUGACACUGAACAUUGAGCCUUGAUGUGUAGGAUAGGUGGGAGGCUUUGAAGUGUGGACGCCAGUCUGCAUGGAGCCGACCUUGAAAUACCACCCUUUAAUGUUUGAUGUUCUAACGUGGACCCGUAAUCCGGGUUGCGGACAGUGUCUGGUGGGUAGUUUGACUGGGGCGGUCUCCUCCUAAAGAGUAACGGAGGAGCACGAAGGUUGGCUAAUCCUGGUCGGACAUCAGGAGGUUAGUGCAAUGGCAUAAGCCAGCUUGACUGCGAGCGUGACGGCGCGAGCAGGUGCGAAAGCAGGUCAUAGUGAUCCGGUGGUUCUGAAUGGAAGGGCCAUCGCUCAACGGAUAAAAGGUACUCCGGGGAUAACAGGCUGAUACCGCCCAAGAGUUCAUAUCGACGGCGGUGUUUGGCACCUCGAUGUCGGCUCAUCACAUCCUGGGGCUGAAGUAGGUCCCAAGGGUAUGGCUGUUCGCCAUUUAAAGUGGUACGCGAGCUGGGUUUAGAACGUCGUGAGACAGUUCGGUCCCUAUCUGCCGUGGGCGCUGGAGAACUGAGGGGGGCUGCUCCUAGUACGAGAGGACCGGAGUGGACGCAUCACUGGUGUUCGGGUUGUCAUGCCAAUGGCACUGCCCGGUAGCUAAAUGCGGAAGAGAUAAGUGCUGAAAGCAUCUAAGCACGAAACUUGCCCCGAGAUGAGUUCUCCCUGAGACUUAGAGUCUCCUGAAGGAACGUUGAAGACGACGACGUUGAUAGGCCGGGUGUGUAAGCGCAGCGAUGCGUUGAGCUAACCGGUACUAAUGAACCGUGAGGCUUAACCUUACAACGCCGAAG